UACGAGGGGGGCAAGCGUUGUUCGGAAUUAUUGGGCGUAAAGGGCGCGUAGGCGGUGCGGUAAGUCACCUGUGAAAUCUCCGGGCUUAACUCGGAGCCUGCAGGCGAAACUGCCGUGCUGGAGUAUGGGAGAGGUGCGUGGAAUUGCAGGUGUAGCGGUGAAAUGCGUAGAUAUCUGCAGGAACACCCGUGGCGAAAGCGGCGAGCUGGAUCACUACUGACGCUGAGGAACGAAAGCUAGGGGAGCAAACAG
RNAcentral lists this ribosomal RNA (252 nucleotides) under uncultured bacterium. RNAcentral's name for it is "partial 16S ribosomal RNA". It matches the Rfam family "Bacterial small subunit ribosomal RNA", at positions 524 to 775 of the family's 1533-position model. The record is from RNAcentral.